RNAcentral lists this ribosomal RNA (253 nucleotides) under uncultured bacterium. RNAcentral describes it as "partial 16S ribosomal RNA". It matches the Rfam family "Bacterial small subunit ribosomal RNA", at positions 524 to 776 of the family's 1533-position model. The record is from RNAcentral.
UACGGAGGAUGCAAGCGUUAUCCGGAAUCAUUGGGUUUAAAGGGUCCGUAGGCUGAUUAUUAAGUCAGGGGUGAAAUGUAAUAGCUCAACUAUUAAUGUGCCUUUGAUACUGGUAGUCUUGAAUAUUAUGGAAGUGAUUAGAAUGAGUAGUGUAGCGGUGAAAUGCAUAGAUAUUACUCAGAAUACCGAUUGCGAAGGCAUGUCACUACAUAAUUAUUGACGCUGAUGGACGAAAGCGUGGGUAGCGAACAGG